RNAcentral lists this unclassified non-coding RNA (240 nucleotides) under soil metagenome. Its description in RNAcentral is "partial contains 5.8S ribosomal RNA, internal transcribed spacer 2, and large subunit ribosomal RNA". The record is from RNAcentral.
AACAAGGCGUACCUGCGGACCUGCGGAAGGAUCAUUACAGAGUUCGUGCCCUCGCGGGUAGAUCUCCCACCCUUGUGUAUUCCUUACAUUUUGUUGCUUUGGCAGGCCGUUGGUUCGCCAACCACCGGCUCUACGGGCUGGUGCGUGCCUGCCAGAGGACCCCCCAAACUCGGUUUGUUAGUGUCGUCUGAGUAACCAUAACAAUCGUUAAAACUUUCAGCAACGGAUCUCAGAUCGGAA